This 412-nucleotide long non-coding RNA is filed under the name Malus domestica (apple). RNAcentral describes it as "long non-coding RNA (MDOM_LNC006882)". The record is from RNAcentral. Lineage: Eukaryota; Viridiplantae; Streptophyta; Magnoliopsida; Rosales; Rosaceae.
GGAAUGGUAGAACUCAUCCGCUGUGCAAUCAUAUUAGUAAUUGUUCUAGCAACCCUCAGAGUAGUAGGCUUCACAAGCUUAGAUCUAACAGCCACUUUUUUCCCCUUGGAAAAAGUUAAGUCAAUCAUAAGCUUCAUAGCAGUGGAUGAACCCUCACGAGUAAUAGAGGAAGUCUUUAGCUUUUUUUCCACAACGGCUCUCGAGCAGGGUACGAAGAUCUCUUUAUCCCACCUCUAUGAGCAACAAGCUCUACGGUAGCAAUUGUAUAAGCAAACGCCUCACCCAUGAUCCUUUUAAUCUCCUUAAUCUGGGGUAGCCCACAUUUCUCCCUAUGAAGCAGACUGAGCAGCCAACGCCACUUAUGAUAUUCAGCAAGGAUCCCCAAAACGAUGUGCACCUUCUUCAUGUCUGG